Molecule: long non-coding RNA, 1111 nt
Organism: Zalophus californianus (California sea lion)
Lineage: Eukaryota; Metazoa; Chordata; Mammalia; Carnivora; Otariidae
Exons: 3
Source: RefSeq, a predicted model, not a curated record
GGGAGGAGUCAUGCGCUGUGUUCAAAGUGGCUGUCGCAGUCUCUAAGGAGACAGGUAAAUCUCCUGAUGCUACAAUCAGAUUGGUGAAGAAGAUCCGUUCCUGCUGCAAGUCGCCUGCCUUCCGGCUUCUCGGAGGUGAAAUUCCCCUGCACCUCUUUGGAGCCUCCAGAGCCUGGGGGGCACCGUUUUGGAAGGAGCUGAAGUUUUCCAUCCAGUCGGGGAGGAGUACAUGGCUUCUCUGCAGGAGACGGAUGGCCUGGCCGGCACGGAGGGUCCUGGGACGCUGCCACCAAGCAGGCUUCCCUCGUGUUUGCAGGGCUCUCAGGCCAUUUCAAGGUUGAAGAAAACAGAAGACGAUCAUAUGAAUACUGUGUAGACAUCAGUUUGAGACUGAAAAAUAAACAUCACUUGGAGUUUUCAACAUAUUCAGACACCCACCGUCACCCAGAGAAAGAGCAUGAGCAGGAACACCCAUGGUGGGCCUGGGAAUUUCAGAGGAAAACCAAGGGGCCAUCUUGGUUACUGGGUCCUCCUGUUGUUGAUGUGUAAAAAAAUGUGUUGGAUUUUAUUUAUUCUGGUACAAUCAAGACUGCAACCUUCUGUAUGUUUCCUAGUUUCCUUACACAUGACAAAUCAAAUUCAUUUUAAGGACUUUGAGCCUUUGAUUUAAUGCGAAAUCAGAGACUAACUCCCUGGUUGAGGGAUUUGGCACCUUCAGCUGAUCUACUCUAAAAUAACUAUGAAAAAUGGAUUUUAAAUCUGAAGAUUGUAAUCUCAAUGUUUUUAUUUCCAGUAAAAUACUACCUGAGACUGUUUGUGAUUUCUAAUAAUCGAUUAUGGCCAUAGGAUAAAAUGAUAUUACAUGUCCCAUAUCUUUAUCUAUGUCUUCGAAGGUUUUCCCCUGCCUUUUCCAACCCAGAGCUACCUUACCCACCCUCCACACACAUCCACAUAAUUAUGAAAGUAUCAUGUAACGAUUUAAACAGAUUAACUACUUCUGAUAGUUUGUGAAGAAAUGCUACAUCUCUUUUCCAUGAGACUGUAAAACUUUCUCACCAUUCUUAAGUAACAGCAGAAAUAAUAAAAACUAAAAAAAAAAAGUGCAAUUUAA